ACUCCAUUGGUUGUGAGUGGUUGCCAUGGACACUGUGAAGCAGAUCCACUUGGGAAUAAUGGAAAGUGAGGGAACCCUGCAUCCCAAGUUGCCAUGGCAACUCAGCACUUUGCUUGUUCUGUUAAACCAUAGCUCAAGCACUUUCUUUUUAAAGACAGCUGUGCAGAUUCACACACAGACACACAAUAUACACCUCCAUCCCUCCCUCUGUUAGAGACAUUGCAUCACAGGGAUUACAUCCUGGUCACAUCCAAGUCACACACACUCGACUGUUAACAUUCAUUUUGCACUUGGAACAUAAUGCUUCACACAUACAUAUCUCAAACAUUCCCUUGCAUACUAGAAGCUGCUCAGAGAAAUGUACCGCAUCACAGUAACACACACACUGUCAGAAAUAGGGGUACAGUAGGGGUCCAUUUCUGUCCCCCAAGGUACAAUCAACACAAAAGUACCCCAUAGGGCUCAUUAUUGGACCUCAAGGUACACAUAUGCACCUUUUUGAGGGUCAAAAAGGUACAUAUUUGUUCCCAAGCAUUAAAAGGUACAUAUUUGUACCAUUUCUUUUAAAGGAUAAGGUACAAUGUUAAGAGACAGCCUCUUGCCAUUUACAACUGCUGUAAAUCUGGUGAGUAACGUAAAUAACUAUUGUGUCAAUUUUUGUUUCCUUUAGUUGGACACAUGGGUAUUGAAGUAGUAUUAGUUUUCUUCAGUUCAUUGACAGUGUGUUUAAUUUUUAAUUUAAAUUUUAAAUUUUAAUUAAAAAAAAGUUAAUUUCACUUAAUAAAAACUGUGAUAUGAACUCAAAAACUGCAAUUGAUUAACCAUUAUUUAAACUGAAUAAAUACUGAAUAACUGAAUCCCUCACACACACCGAAAAAAAACCGCGCUUUUAUUUUGACACGCGCCCAUCCCCCCACAUCUCACGGUCGGAGUCAGUUUCACAGAGCAGCGCAGGAGGACGACAGACACUUAAAGAACAUUAACAGUUUAGUUUGAAUCUCUCUCAGUCAGUCAGGGGGAGAUUAACUGACAGACUGUAUAACGUUACACGUCUUACCAAGAAACCAUUAAAAGUUUAGCACAAAUGUUUCCCGUGGAAGUUUGAAUCUCUCUCAGUCAGGGGGGAGAUUGACUGACAGACGGUCUACUUGCCACCAAACGUCAAAAGUCAGUUACACAGAAUCCUUUUAAAGUUUAGCACAAACGUUUCCCGCGCAAGUUUGGAUCUUUACCAUUGAGGGUGGCUGACUGUUCUCGACCAACCAUCAUUCACACGCAAAAACUUUAAAGAUAAGUAUGAACGUGCCCAGAGCAGUUUUCGAUCUUUACCACUAAGGAGGCUGACUGACUAUCCUCUACCACCCGUCAUUAACACAAGAAAAACUAAAGAAAUGUUACUUCAUAUGGACCUAUUCAUUUACUCAUUAUGCUGUGAGUACACCACAGUUUUAUCAGGGAAAAAAAAUUAUAUUUGUGUGUUUCUCACUGCUUGACAAGGACAGAUGUGGCCCUGUUAAAAAUGUUUAAAUGUCGUUUGGUUUAAGGAACAGCACACUGAUUUUAUUUUAAAAUAUUCCUGUUUGGACAGUCUGUUAAAGUCAUAAAGGAAUACUUGAUAUAUUUCAUAAGUAAAGUGUAAAUGUAAUAUUAGUUUUUAAUGUUGUGAAUUUGGACUGAACAGCACACUUCUGUUUUAUAUCUAAACCUUUUGUAAAAUAAAUGAUUG
This is a long non-coding RNA of Paramisgurnus dabryanus, 1726 nucleotides long. RefSeq lists it as uncharacterized. Lineage: Eukaryota; Metazoa; Chordata; Actinopteri; Cypriniformes; Cobitidae. The record is from RefSeq and is a predicted model, not a curated record.